AUGGUCUGGGCUCUGCUCCUCCUCCCCCUCUUCACUCAGGACACAGGGUCCUGGGCUCAGUCUGCCCUGACUCAGCCUCGCUCAGUAUCUAGCUCCUCUGGACAGUCGGUCACCAUCUCCUGCACUGGAACCAGUGGUGAUGUUGGGAGUUAUAACAUUGUCUCCUGGUAUCAACAGCACCCAGGCACAGCCCCCCAACUCAUGAUUUAUCGCAUCAGUUAUCAGCCCUCAGGGGUCCCCGAUCGUUUCUCUGGCUCCAAGUCUGGCAACACGGCCUCCAUGACCAUCUCUGGGUUCUAG
This is a non-coding RNA of Chlorocebus sabaeus (green monkey), 300 nucleotides long. The record is from the annotation of a RefSeq genome assembly. NCBI's taxonomy places the organism in Eukaryota, Metazoa, Chordata, Mammalia, Primates, Cercopithecidae.